This 1446-nucleotide ribosomal RNA is filed under the name uncultured Bacteroidota bacterium. RNAcentral describes it as "bacterial SSU rRNA". It matches the Rfam family "Bacterial small subunit ribosomal RNA". Lineage: Bacteria; Pseudomonadati; Bacteroidota. The record is from RNAcentral.
GAUGAACGCUAGCGACAGGCUUAACACAUGCAAGCCGAGGGGCAGCGGGGAGUAGCAAUACUCUGCCGGCGACCGGCGUACGGGUGAGUAACGCGUGUGCAACCUGCCCUUUACCGGAGAAUAACCCAUGGAAACGUGGACUAAUACUCCAUAGUAUUGAUUUAUCGCAUGAUAGAUUAAUUAAAACUUCGGUGGUAAAGGAUGGGCACGCGUGACAUUAGGUAGUUGGUGGGGUAACGGCCUACCAAGCCGACGAUGUCUAGGGGUUCUGAGAGGAAGGUCCCCCACACUGGAACUGAGACACGGUCCAGACUCCUACGGGAGGCAGCAGUGAGGAAUAUUGGUCAAUGGGUGAGAGCCUGAACCAGCCAAGUCGCGUGAGGGAAGAAUGGUCUAUGGCCUGUAAACCUCUUUUGUAUGGGAAGAAUAAGGAGUAUGUAUACUCUGAUGCCGGUACCAUACGAAUAAGCAUCGGCUAACUCCGUGCCAGCAGCCGCGGUAAUACGGGGGAUGCAAGCGUUAUCCGGAUUUAUUGGGUUUAAAGGGUGCGUAGGCGGUCUGUUAAGUCAGCGGUGAAAUCCGGCAGCUCAACUGUCGCGAGCCGUUGAAACUGGUAGACUCGAGUGAGGUCGAGGUAAGCGGAAUAAGUAAAGUAGCGGUGAAAUGCUUAGAUAUUACUUAGAACACCGAUAGCGAAGGCAGCUUACCAGCCCUCAACUGACGCUGAUGCACGAGAGCGUGGGUAGCGAACAGGAUUAGAUACCCUGGUAGUCCACGCCGUAAACGAUGCUCACUGGCUCUGGGCGAUAAACAGUCCGGGGCCGAGCUAACGUAAAAGUGAGCCACCUGGGGAGUACGUCGGCAACGAUGAAACUCAAAGGAAUUGACGGGGGCCCGCACAAGCGGAGGAACAUGUGGUUUAAUUCGAUGAUACGCGAGGAACCUUACCCGGGUUUAAAUGUAGAUUGCAUGAGGUGGAAACACUUCUUUCCUUCGGGACUAUUUACAAGGUGCUGCAUGGUUGUCGUCAGCUCGUGCCGUGAGGUGUCGGGUUAAGUCCCAUAACGAGCGCAACCCUUAUCGUUAGUUGCCAUCAGGUCAAGCUGGGCACUCUAUCGAGACUGCCACCGUAAGGUGUGAGGAAGGUGGGGAUGACGUCAAAUCAUCAUGGCCUUUAUGCCCAGGGCGACACACGUGCUACAAUGGGGCGCACAGAGGGAAGCGAUACAGCGAUGUGGAGCGGAUCCCAGAAAGCGUCUCUCAGUUCGGAUUGUAGUCUGCAACCCGACUACAUGAAGCCGGAAUCGCUAGUAAUCGCAGAUCAGCCAAGCUGCGGUGAAUACGUUCCCGGGCCUUGUACACACCGCCCGUCACACCACCCGAGUUGUCUGCACCCGAAGCCGUCGGCCUAACCCGCAAGGGGAGGAGGCGUCGAAGGUGUGGAGG